This 245-nucleotide ribosomal RNA is filed under the name uncultured bacterium. Its description in RNAcentral is "partial 16S ribosomal RNA". It matches the Rfam family "Bacterial small subunit ribosomal RNA", at positions 524 to 770 of the family's 1533-position model. The record is from RNAcentral.
UACGGGAGGGACAAGCGUUAUUCAUCAUGAUUGGGCGUAAAGGGUUCGUAGGCGAUGAAACAAGGUCACUAGGAAAGAACAAAAGUAUCUUUUGUUGAACAGUGACGUUAGAUCAGAUAAUGAGAUGAUAAAGGUGGGCACAAUUACUAAUGUAAAGGUAAAAUAUUUUGAUAUUAGUACGAAUACCAAUGGCGAAGGCAGCUUUCUUUGGAAUCUAACGCUGAGGCACGAAAGCAUGGGAAUCA